RNAcentral lists this unclassified non-coding RNA (238 nucleotides) under Hevea brasiliensis (rubber tree). Lineage: Eukaryota; Viridiplantae; Streptophyta; Magnoliopsida; Malpighiales; Euphorbiaceae. The record is from RNAcentral.
UGCAGCAGCCUUCAAUUCCAUCAACAGGUAAUUCCCAGAUCAGCUCUGUGGGAAGUGUAUCUAGCUGUCAUGUGGUAAAUGGAGUCCUUGCAUCAGACAGUUUCCAUCCAAUGCAAAUAAAUUCUCUAAAAGGAAGCCCAGCUGACCCAGUACCUGCUGUCCCUGUCAUCAAGUCAGAGAUGAUGGAUUUGAGUCCAACACCAGUUACAUCCAAUGGUCAAUUUCUUUUCACUCCAGC